RNAcentral lists this ribosomal RNA (881 nucleotides) under Enterobacter sp. RNAcentral's name for it is "bacterial SSU rRNA". It matches the Rfam family "Bacterial small subunit ribosomal RNA", at positions 511 to 1392 of the family's 1533-position model. Lineage: Bacteria; Pseudomonadati; Pseudomonadota; Gammaproteobacteria; Enterobacterales; Enterobacteriaceae. RNAcentral also lists the same sequence under 1 other name. The record is from RNAcentral.
GCACCCGCGGUAAUACAGAGGGUGCAAGCGUAAUUCGGAAUUACUGGGCGUAAAGCGCACGCAGGCGGUCUGUCAAGUCGGAUGUGAAAUCCCCGGGCUCAACCUGGGAACUGCAUUCGAAACUGGCAGGCUAGAGUCUUGUAGAGGGGGGUAGAAUUCCAGGUGUAGCGGUGAAAUGCGUAGAGAUCUGGAGGAAUACCGGUGGCGAAGGCGGCCCCCUGACAAAGACUGACGCUCAGGUGCGAAAGCGUGGGGAGCAAACAGGAUUAAGAUACCCUGGUAGUCCACGCCGUAAACGAUGUCGACUUGGAGGUUGUUCCCUUGAGGAGUGGCUUCCGGAGCUAACGCGUUAAGUCGACCGCCUGGGGAGUACGGCCGCAAGGUUAAAACUCAAAUGAAUUGACGGGGGCCCGCACAAGCGGUGGAGCAUGUGGUUUAAUUCGAUGCAACGCGAAGAACCUUACCUACUCUUGACAUCCAGAGAACUUAGCAGAGAUGGUUUGGUGCCUUCGGGAACUCUGAGACAGGUGCUGCAUGGCUGUCGUCAGCUCGUGUUGUGAAAUGUUGGGUUAAGUCCCGCAACGAGCGCAACCCUUAUCCUUUGUUGCCAGCGGUCCGGCCGGGAACUCAAAGGAGACUGCCAGUGAUAAACUGGAGGAAGGUGGGGAUAGACGUCAAGUCAUCAUGGCCUUACGAGUAGGGCUACACACGUGCUACAAUGGCGCAUACAAAGAGAAGCGACCUCGCGAGAGCAAGCGGACCUCAUAAAGUGCGUCGUAGUCCGGAUUGGAGUCUGCAACUCGACUCCAUGAAGUCGGAAUCGCUAGUAAUCGUAGAUCAGAAUGCUACGGUGAAUACGUUCCCGGGCCUUGUACACACCG